This 406-nucleotide ribosomal RNA is filed under the name uncultured bacterium. RNAcentral describes it as "partial 16S ribosomal RNA". It matches the Rfam family "Bacterial small subunit ribosomal RNA", at positions 30 to 526 of the family's 1533-position model. The record is from RNAcentral.
AUUGAACGCUGGCGGCAGGCCUAACACAUGCAAGUCGAACGAGUGGCGGACGGGUGAGUAAUGUCUGGGAAACUGCGUGAUGGAGGGGGAUAAAUACUGGAAACGGUCGCUAAUACCGCAUACCAUCGGAUGUGCCCAGAUGGGAGUAGCUUGUGGGGGGGGGAAAGGCUCACCUAGGCGACGAUCCCUAGCUGGUCGGAGAGGUUGACCAGCCAACCUGGAACUGAGACACGGUCCAGACUCCUACUGGAGGCAGCAGUGGGGAAUCUUGCACAAUGGGCGCAAGCCUGAUGCAGCCAUGCCGCGUGUAUGAAGAAGGCCUUCGGGUUGUAAAGUACUUUCAGCCGGGAGGCGUUACCCGCAGAAGAAGCACCGGCUAACUCCGUGCCAGCAGCCGCGGUAAUAC